Non-coding RNA from Christensenella minuta, 385 nucleotides. It matches the Rfam family "transfer-messenger RNA". From Rfam's summary of the family: Bacterial tmRNA, also known as 10Sa RNA or SsrA, is named for its dual tRNA and mRNA-like properties. Its role is to liberate the mRNA from a stalled ribosome. The record is from Rfam. NCBI's taxonomy places the organism in Bacteria, Bacillati, Bacillota, Clostridia, Christensenellales, Christensenellaceae.
GGGGAUGUACUGGUUUCGACGGGGGCAUUUGUGAGGACAAUAAGCAAGCCGCAGUUGAAUACUCUGCGUUAAAAAGAUUCAACUAAAUAUAAACGCAAAAACAAACAAAACGGCAGAGGUGGGUUCUCCCGCUCUGCUCGCUGCUUAAUUUAAAAUAGCAGCCUUCCGACCUCUCUUUUCCUGUUUGGGAGGGGAUCGGGAGCCAAUUUAAAACGGGCUACUACGCUGCCAAAGCUUUGCGGCGGCGCGGAUUUUAUGAAGCUACCUCUUCUUGGUUUUUGUGGCCGGGGGCCUUGAAGAGGGAAAGAAACAAAGGCCAAUAAGCUUGUAGAAAGUUGUCCGGGCAGGCUUUCGGACAGGGGUUCGACUCCCCUCAUCUCCACCA